CCCUUAGAUGUCCUGGGCUGCACGCGCGCUACACUGAUGUGUCCAGUAAGCACCUAACCUCUUCCGAAAGGAACGGGUAACCUUUGCAAAGCACAUCGUGAUGGGGAUAGAUUAUUGCAAUUAUUAGUCUUGAACGAGGAAUUCCUAGUAAGCACAAGUCAUCAGCUUGUGUUGAUUACGUCCCUGCCCUUUGUACACACCGCCCGUCGCUCCUACCGAUUGAUUGAUCCGGUGAAUUACAUAGAAUUUUGCGUUUUACAUGACGGAAGAUGAAGUGUUUUAAACCUUAUCAUUUAGAGGAAGGAGAAGUCGUAACA
RNAcentral lists this ribosomal RNA (317 nucleotides) under uncultured eukaryote. RNAcentral describes it as "partial 18S ribosomal RNA". It matches the Rfam family "Eukaryotic small subunit ribosomal RNA", at positions 1470 to 1796 of the family's 1831-position model. The record is from RNAcentral.